ACAGAACAUCACAACCAGAACACAAGAAGUACUCACCUCUCAGAAGACCUUGCCCUCAAUGUUGGGAAACCGCCAUUGCAACUGCUCCACGGGAACCCACGACGAGUCUUCUUCUAGGGCGCCACUCUACUUAACCAGGAGCUCUAUUAAUGGACAGUUCAUGAACUUCGUCAUCUUUCGAUCUAACACCUUCUCUAGUACAACGCGUAGGGAUCCAUGAUGAUCUACAAGGGGCAGCAACGGCGAGGGAACAAAUGUGGUCUCGAGGUGCUUCUUGAGGGACACAUGAAACACGAGAUGAAUCAAGGAAUCAGCCGGCAACUCCAACCGGUAGGCUACUUCACCGAUCUCUUCCAAAACCUUGAAGGGACCAAAAUAACGGGAAGAAAGUUUGAAGCUUUGGUAUUUAGAGACACUCUACUAACAGUAUUUCUGGAGCUUGAGAGGUCAUGGCUGCGCUCAAAGCUGUCAUUUUUUAUAAAGAGUUAAGUAUUAACAGCUUAAUUCUUGAAGGGGAUGCAACCAAGGAAUUGGAGCACAGCAAGGUUAAUCAUUCAAGACAUCAAAUCCGAGCUCAAGAAUAGGCCUAACUAGUCUGUUAUGCAUGUCUCUAGAAUGUUUAAUUGUAUGGCUCAUUGUUUAGCUAAGGAUGCAUUAAAACUCUAUGAGGGGAGUAUUUCUUUGGAGGGAGUCCCUCCUUGUAUCCAACAUUUGCUAAGCUAAGUUGAAUAAAACUAAUUAUUCUUUGAAAAAAAAAAAAA
This is a long non-coding RNA of Carya illinoinensis, 761 nucleotides long. RefSeq lists it as uncharacterized. NCBI's taxonomy places the organism in Eukaryota, Viridiplantae, Streptophyta, Magnoliopsida, Fagales, Juglandaceae. The transcript is spliced from 2 exons. The record is from RefSeq and is a predicted model, not a curated record.